GAUGAAGAACGCAGCGAAAUGCGAUAAGUAAUGUGAAUUGCAGAAUUCAGUGAAUCAUCGAAUCUUUGAACGCACAUUGCGCCCGUCAGUAUUCUGGCGGGCAUGCCUGUUCGAGCGUCAUUACGCCCCUCAAGUCCCCUGUGGACUUGGUGUUGGGGAUCGGCGAGGCUGGUUUUCCAGCACAGCCGUCCCUUAAAUUAAUUGGCGGUCUCGCCGUGGCCCUCCUCUGCGCAGUAGUAAAACACUCGCAACAGGAGCCCGGCGCGGUCCACUGCCGUAAAACCCCCCAACUUUUUAUAGUUGACCUCGAAUCAGGUACGACUACCCGCUGAACUUAAGCAUAUCAAUAAGCGGAGGA
RNAcentral lists this unclassified non-coding RNA (358 nucleotides) under soil metagenome. RNAcentral's name for it is "partial contains 5.8S ribosomal RNA, internal transcribed spacer 2, and large subunit ribosomal RNA". The stretch from base 1 to 120 matches the Rfam family "5.8S ribosomal RNA", at positions 35 to 154 of the family's 154-position model. The record is from RNAcentral.